Molecule: unclassified non-coding RNA, 348 nt
Filed under: soil metagenome
Description: partial contains 5.8S ribosomal RNA, internal transcribed spacer 2, and large subunit ribosomal RNA
Rfam family: 5.8S ribosomal RNA (bases 1-120)
Source: RNAcentral
GAUGAAGAACGUAGUGAAAUGCGAAAAGUAAUGUGAAUUGCAGAAUUCAGUGAAUCAUCGAAUCUUUGAACGCACAUUGCGCCCGCCAGUAUUCUGGCGGGCAUGCCUGUCUGAGCGUCAUUUCAACCCUCAUGCCCCUAGGGCGUGGUGUUGGGGAUCGGCCAAAGCCCGCGAGGGACGGCCGGCCCCUAAAUCUAGUGGCGGACCCGUCGUGGCCUCCUCUGCGAAGUAGUGAUAUUCCGCAUCGGAGAGCGAUGAGCCCCUGCCGUUAAACCCCCAACUUUCCAAGGUUGACCUCAGAUCAGGUAGGAAUACCCGCUGAACUUAAGCAUAUCAAUAAGCGGAGGA